This 402-nucleotide unclassified non-coding RNA is filed under the name fungal sp. RNAcentral's name for it is "partial internal transcribed spacer region". The stretch from base 1 to 46 matches the Rfam family "Eukaryotic small subunit ribosomal RNA", at positions 1786 to 1831 of the family's 1831-position model. Lineage: Eukaryota; Fungi. The record is from RNAcentral.
AAGUCGUAACAAGGUUUCCGUAGGUGAACCUGCGGAAGGAUCAUUAACACGUAUCCAAACGUUAAACCCGUUAGAAAAAGCAGCAAUCCCUGGUAAAUCAUCGCCGAACAGUUUUCGAUUCAGGGACGUCUGCAAGGAGCGUGCAUGUUGUGCGUGUAAGUGGCCUGGCAUCCCCAAGCAGUUAGUGUCUGAAAGUGUCACUAACGUUAGUGUCUGAAAGUGUCACUAACAUGUGUAAGGAUGACGCAGUCACGAUCGUUGGAGGCCCACACGGCCGACGACCGGGUCACUGGGUGCAAGCCCCCUUAUCACACCCCUGCUCUAUCUAUGGUGAUCCUGCGGGAAGUCCUGCGGUCGAACGCCGAAACCGAACAACUGUUAACAAUGGAUAUCUUGGUUCUC